This is a long non-coding RNA of Mesocricetus auratus (golden hamster), 414 nucleotides long. RefSeq lists it as uncharacterized. The transcript is spliced from 2 exons. NCBI's taxonomy places the organism in Eukaryota, Metazoa, Chordata, Mammalia, Rodentia, Cricetidae. The record is from RefSeq and is a predicted model, not a curated record.
GCAUGCGCAGAGGCCGGAAACGGGUCGAAAUGGCGCCGAAGGCCUCAGCCACUCUCUACCUCGUGGCCUUGAGAAAGCGGGACUCUCUGGAGCUCACUGUUUAUGAUGAAACAGACGCUUACAGAGGGAAGGAUGGACCACAGGCUACAGGGAUAGUAAAUGAAGGGGCUCUGGCCAGCCUGAGUGUGGCAAGCAGGGCUUUCCCCUCUUUCCCUCUGCCUUGCUGAAAACUAUUAGGUUACAUUCCUAAAGCUGCCACCAAGGUCUGUCCCUUUAUCCCUUUAUUUGGCCACUCCUCCCUCCUGAAGCUGACUACUAAGGUCCAGCUCUCAAAGCAUUGAAAUCCAGCAAGCAAAAGCCCCCUUCGGUUCUCCUAGUUAAGAUGCCCAAUUAAAAUAAAACAUCUCAUCCUAA